RNAcentral lists this long non-coding RNA (1262 nucleotides) under Erythranthe guttata (spotted monkey flower). RNAcentral's name for it is "long non-coding RNA (EGUT_LNC001951)". Lineage: Eukaryota; Viridiplantae; Streptophyta; Magnoliopsida; Lamiales; Phrymaceae. The record is from RNAcentral.
AGAAAAAACAACUAAAAAAAAUCUCUCCGUCUCUACGCCGUCAUAGUGCCCAAAAUGCUGACAUCAAUGGAUUCAUUCAAAGAUCUCCAAUGCCAGAGGCCGCCUCCCGAACCUCCGCCGCAAAGGUAUUUUCCCUAAUUCCAAAAUAAAGUUUUUUUCGAUUAGAUUGCAUGCAAAGUUGAUUUGAGUAUAAAAUUUAUUGUUCUAGAGAUGAUAGGUUUAAUUUUGAGAAACAAAUUUAAGAUAUUCUUUGUUCUCCAUGUUUGGUUUGUAUGGCAAAUUUAUGUUUUUCGUACUGCAUUGAUUUGCAUUGAUUCGGAUUUUUAUGAAUCAAACAUUUAUGUACACUAGACUCUAAUUCAUAUCCUUUUUUUUAAUCAAACAUUUAUAUACGUUAAGAUAUUUUGUAUUUAUCUCUUUGACUGAUAAAAAAAAAGAUCGUUGAUUCAGAUCUGCGUCGCAUUAAGCUUCUUUUUCUUUUUGCAACCUUUAAAACGAUGUUACUUUGUUUUGGGGGUGCUGAGAUUUAACUAGAUCUCGGUAUCUGAAUUUUGUAAUUUUUGUUUUUUUUUUACUGAAUGUUUGAUUAAUCCUAUAUUUAAUUGGAGGAUUAAGAUAUAUUACUAUUUUACCUUAUUUUCUACCGUAAGAUUAUUUUUGAAUAUAACCAUUUCGAUUUCUCCGUGUAACUAUGUAACCACAUGCCAAAUGAACAUUUCUUUGGUAGUUGUUGUUAUAAAGUUAGAUAUGAUCAAAGUUUACUAACUAUCUCUUUUCUUUUUAUUUUGUUGUUGACAGAGAGAUGUAGAUUCAUCAGAGAAGCAUUUCGAACAAUAUUCGUAACGUCAGCGGCAUAAUGGUAGGAAAUAUUUUCUAACAAAGUUAACUUUUUUCUCGCACAAUGUUUCUCAAAAUAUGUAUCACGAUAAACGAAGUUUAUAAAUUUCCUCUCAUGUUUCUUUUGUUAUUGACUAACCAAUGAAGUUUUACCGGAGGGUGGAGGCAGCAUGAACAUCUUAACAGUGUUCUCGUGAGCGACGCAACAAUGGUAAAACGAAUCUUCUUGAGCAACUCUCUUUGGAAAGUAUAAAUCGUGUUUGGUACAAGUUAUUUAUGAACAAAACUUAAUUUAUUUUUGAUGCACUAUUUUCCUUGUUUUUUACGAUGUAGAAGUCAAUUAUGAUUUGAGUUAAUGAACUUUCGAUUUUAUUUUUAUUUUAUUGUUGAAUGAUGAAAGAGGUGUACCAAAUAAGCAUAUCUAG